Molecule: long non-coding RNA, 676 nt
Organism: Dromaius novaehollandiae (emu)
Lineage: Eukaryota; Metazoa; Chordata; Aves; Casuariiformes; Dromaiidae
Exons: 4
Source: RefSeq, a predicted model, not a curated record
GCAGCCCCGGGGGGACCCUUGCGGCAGCCCUGCGGGGACCCUGCAGCAGGCUUGGGGCAACCCUGUGGCAGCCCCCAGGGACCUUUGCGGGAGUGAGGAGAUGACAGAAAAGGCAGCAGGAGCGCUGCGUUGGUGAGAAAACCAACGGACCAGGGUUGAAAUACUGAGGGAAGAAAGCGAAGUGAUGGAAGAAGACAGUGAAAUGAUCAAGAAAACAGGAAGGGAAUGAGUCAAGUGCCGAAGUUCAAAAUCCCAGAAGAGCUGGAGCCUAAACACAUUAAAUGGAGUGGUAAAUUGCUGAUCUUCAACCAUGCUGACCAGGCAGUUCUUCACGCACCUCUUCACACACCUUGCAGUCCGCCUAUCCAGAACUUAUUUCCUCAAUUUCACUACAAAUGUGCUGUGGAAGACCACAUCAAAAGCCUUGCCAGAUCAAGUAAUUGAACAUCUCAUUGCUGUGCUCCGGACUAACACAAUGAGGAGCAGCCUGUGAGGAAGAUAACACUAGCUUUGCGCUUAUAAUGGUCUAAUGAGCAACGUGGAGGAGGACAAAAGGCAUUGUGACUUUUGUAUUACUAUGGAGCUUGGAGAGAUUUUAUGAUAUAUGCAGUAAACUGGAAUGAAAGCACACUGAUUCCUAUGCAUAUAUAGUAUGUUGAUUUUAUUUGGUCUCAUA